CAACACUCCUCACCAGGGACAUGAAGACAAAAAGGCAAGCCAUGAACUGAGAGAAAAUAUUUGCAAAAUUAAACAAAGAACCUUCUACCCAGAAUAUUAAAAAAGACUUACAAUUCAAUAAAUGAGAUACAUUAGUUC
Molecule: long non-coding RNA, 138 nt
Organism: Myotis brandtii (Brandt's bat)
Lineage: Eukaryota; Metazoa; Chordata; Mammalia; Chiroptera; Vespertilionidae
Exons: 4
Source: RefSeq, a predicted model, not a curated record